RNAcentral lists this ribosomal RNA (1675 nucleotides) under human gut metagenome. RNAcentral's name for it is "bacterial LSU rRNA". It matches the Rfam family "Bacterial large subunit ribosomal RNA", at positions 961 to 2641 of the family's 2925-position model. The record is from RNAcentral.
UGCCGCGCAACGUUCCCCGGGAGUGAGGGCGCGGGUGCUAAGGUCCGCGUCCGAGAGAGGAACAACUCAGACCACCGGCUAAGGCCCCCAAGGGGCGACUAAGUUGAAGACAAUAACGAAGUGGGAUCGCACGGACAGCUAGGAUGUUGGCUUGGAAGCAGCCAUUCAUUUAAAGAGUGCGUAACAGCUCACUAGUCGAGCGAUCCCGCGUGGAUAAUAAUCGGGCAUCAAGUCGUCCGCCGAAGCCGUGGAAUAUUAUCAGAAGAUGAUAUUGGUAGGGGAGCAUUCCGGCCGCCGUAGAAUCCGAGGCGUGAGCCUUGGUGGAGGUACCGGAAAAGCAAAUGUAGGCAUAAGUAACGAUAAUGGGGGCGAGAACCCCCCACGCCGGAAGGCCAAGGGUUCCUGAUCAACGCUAAUCGGAUCAGGGUAAGUCGGGACCUAAGAGGGAGCCGCGAGGCGUACUCGAUGGACAAACGGUAAAGAUUCCGUUACCCGGCGCAGGAGUGAAGUGGCGACGGAGAAGUGACACGCCCGCGUGCUGACGGAAAAGCACGUUAAACCGCGUAGGUAUACUUAGGGGAGGCAAAUCCCUCCUGAGUGCUGAAACGGGAAAGUACACCGAGCCCUGCGGGGCGAGGUGAUAGCGGCGGUAAUCAGGCUUCCGAGAAAACCCGCUAAACAUAUGCUGCGUCGGCCCGUACCGCAAACCGACACAGGUGGCCGGGUAGAAAAUACUGAGGCGCUCGAGAGAUUCACGGUUAAGGAACUAGGCAAAUUGACCCCGUAACUUCGGGAUAAGGGGUCCCCUCCUCCGGGAGGGGCGCAGAGAAUAGGUCCAGGCAACUGUUUAACAAAAACACAGGGCUGUGCGAAGUUUAAAGACGAAGUAUACAGCCUGACACCUGCCCGGUGCCGGAAGGUUAAGAGGAGACGUCAUCGCAAGAGAAGCGUUGAAUUGAAGCCCCGGUAAACGGCGGCCGUAACUAUAACGGUCCUAAGGUAGCGAAAUUCCUUGUCGGGUAAGUUCCGACCUGCACGAAUGGUGUAAUGAUCCGGACACUGUCUCAACCGUGAGCUCGGUGAAAUUGUAGUAUCGGUGAAGAUGCCGAUUACCCGCAACGGGACGGAAAGACCCCGUGAACCUUUACUGCAGCUUAGCAUUGGGACCGGGUGCGCGAUGUGUAGGAUAGUCAGGAGGCGAAGAAGUGAGCGCGCCAGCGUUUGCGGAGCCGUUGUUGAAAUACUGACCUUUGCGCAUUUGGUUUCUAACUUGCAAGAGCGAGGACACUGCUUGGCGGGUAGUUUGACUGGGGUGGUCGCCUCCAAAAGCGUAACGGAGGCUUCCAAAGGUGCGCUCAGACCGAUUGGUAACCGGUCGCGGAGUGUAAUGGCACAAGCGCGCUUGACUGGGAGGCCGACAAGCCGAUCAGGUAGGAAACUAGGGCAUAGUGAUCCGGCGGUUCCGCAUGGAAGGGCCGUCGCUCAAAGGAUAAAAGGUACUCCGGGGAUAACAGGCUGAUCCCUCCCAAGAGCUCAUAUCGACGGAGUGGUUUGGCACCUCGAUGUCGGCUCGUCACAUCCCGGGGCUGGAGAAGGUCCCAAGGGUUAGGCUGUUCGCCUAUUAAAGUGGCACGCGAGCUGGGUUCAGAACGUCGUGAGACAGUUCGGUCCCUAU